GACGAACGCUGACAGAAUGCUUAACACAUGCAAGUCAACCUGGGGCUGACGGGUGAGUAACGCGUAAAGAACUUGCCUCACAGAUAGGGACAACAUUUGGAAACGAAUGCUAAUACCUGAUACUGUGAGAGAGCUUUGCGUCCCAUUAGCUAGUUGGAGAGGUAACGGCUCACCAAGGCGAUGAUGGGUAGCCGGACUGAGAGGGUGAUCGGCCACAAGGGGACUGGGACACGGCCCUUACUCAUACUGGGGGAAUCAGUGAGGAAUAUUGGACAAUGGACCAAAGUCUGAUCAAGCAAUUCUGAGUGCACGAUGAAGUUUUCGGAAUGUAAAGUGCUUUCAGUUGGGAAUCGGUACCAACAGAAGAAGUGACGGCUAAAUACGUGCCAGCAGCCGCGGUAAUAC
Molecule: ribosomal RNA, 405 nt
Filed under: uncultured bacterium
Lineage: Bacteria
Description: partial 16S ribosomal RNA
Rfam family: Bacterial small subunit ribosomal RNA
Source: RNAcentral